CUGCGCGCGGCCGUGGGGGGCGCCAGAGAGCGGCGGGCCUGACGUCACCGGGCUGCCCGCGGCAAGGGGCGGGGCUGCGCACGCGCGGGCGCGGCGAGGGCGGGGCGUCCCUGCCUGCGUCCAGGCCGGGAAGCCGUGGCGCGCGCGUCCAGCGGCCGCCGCGUGCACAGGCCGGCAGCCCUCGGCUCCCGGCUCUCGGCCCUUGGGCGGCCGGGGCGCGCCCCGCGGGGAGGAGGUGGGUGGGGGCCCUCAGGAAGCUCUGCACCCGGCCUGGAGCCCUCGGAGGGGUUCCGCGCGGCCAGGCUCCGGUCCUCCUCCUCUUAAGAGUCCGGAGGCGCCGUGGUCACAUCGGCGGGGUGCGGGGGAACCGCGGGAAACAGAAUUGUGUCCGGGCCGGAGCCGAGGACAGUCGGUCACAUUGCGCCCCCGCGCCAGCUCCGAGCUGGCGCGCCCUCUACCGGGUCACACGGGGCCUCCGAGAAACACGGGCCAAGGGAAUGCCGGUGCCCCCGUGGACGAGGGAAUGCAAGUGUGAGCACGUGUAUGUGAUGCUCAGGCGACGGCGGGGUCAGCGCGGGCAGGUGUGCGCACGCAGGGGCACGGUGCUUCUGGCAGCAGGUGUAGGGAUUCUUUUCCCGGCCGCUCUCCAUCGAACCUGCCUGGGGUCCUCCUGCCUGGGGUCAAGGGAGAUGCGGAGCAGCGCCCCUCCGGCUGUGAAGGGUCCAGCCCAAUGGGGAGAGCGGCUCUCCCUACCCCCCACCCAAGGAGGAAAACUUGAGGCCACUAGAAGGAGGCCCACGCUGGCAAGAGUGAGAAGGGAGAGGCCCUAGGAUGCGGCCUGAGAGUUAUGCCGGUGGGCGGCACAUGCUGCUCUGAGGCCCGUCCCCAGCGCCCCGCCUUGAAGCUGGCUGGAGCUGAGACUCUCCCAUCUGUCGGGUCACGACCAUCCUCACGCAGUGGGCCAGCACAAGAGGAGACCUCAUUAGUCCAUCACUGACUGGAGAAGCUAGAGUUUGGCCAUAAGUCCCUGAGUCCAGGCCGGGGACCACCCCCAGAGGACUGAACUGAUACAGUCUGCCCUCUGUCCUCGCGUCCAGUAAGCCCUUGGAAGAGGAUCUGAAACUGCUUCACAGCCAGGAGCAAGUGCACACAAUCAGCUCCGACGCUGCCCUUCUCAGGACACCCAGAGCCAGACUUCCCACCCAGAGGAAUGGGUGAUGACAGUAGGACUCCAGAUGAAGGAGAACACUUGGGGGUCCCCAAGGGCCAGACUCUGCCCCCCGGGGAGAUGGACGGGAGCUGUAGAGGCACAGCUGGGGCCAAGUCUAAAAUCAGAUGUGGUCUUUAUUGAGAUGAUAGCGAUUCCCCAGGAUGAGCAAAUGUGGGGUGUCAGGAGUGGCAGCACCAGCCACUCUAAGACCAUCCUCACCGCCCCCCCCCCGCCCCCC
Molecule: long non-coding RNA, 1448 nt
Organism: Orcinus orca (killer whale)
Lineage: Eukaryota; Metazoa; Chordata; Mammalia; Artiodactyla; Delphinidae
Exons: 2
Source: RefSeq, a predicted model, not a curated record